CCUACGGGAGGCAGCAGUGGGGAAUAUUGCGCAAUGGGCGAAAGCCUGACGCAGCGACGCCGCGUGCGGGAUGAAGGUCUUCGGAUCGUAAACCUCUGUCAGCAGGGAAGAACGGUCACUGUGCUAAUCAGCAGUGAAUUGAUGGUACCUGCAAAGGAAGCACCGGCUAACUCCGUGCCAGCAGCCGCGGUAAUACGGAGGGUGCGAGCGUUAAUUGGAAUUACUGGGCGUAAAGCGCUCGUAGGCGGUAUGUCAAGUCAAGGGUGAAAUCCCCGCGCUCAACGUGGGAACUGCCUUUGAAACUGGCAGACUGGAGUGUAGGAGAGGAUAGUGGAAUUCCGGGGGUAGGAGUGAAAUCCGUAGAUAUCUGGAGGAACAUCAGUGGCGAAGGCGACUAUCUGGCACAUAACUGACGCUGAGGAGCGAAAGCGUGGGGAGCAAACAGGAUUAGAUACCCCAGUAGUC
RNAcentral lists this ribosomal RNA (465 nucleotides) under uncultured bacterium. Its description in RNAcentral is "partial 16S ribosomal RNA". It matches the Rfam family "Bacterial small subunit ribosomal RNA", at positions 338 to 795 of the family's 1533-position model. The record is from RNAcentral.